This 253-nucleotide ribosomal RNA is filed under the name uncultured bacterium. Its description in RNAcentral is "partial 16S ribosomal RNA". It matches the Rfam family "Bacterial small subunit ribosomal RNA", at positions 524 to 776 of the family's 1533-position model. The record is from RNAcentral.
UAAGUAGGGGGCGAACGUUGUCCGGAUUUACUGGGUGUAAAGGGUGCUCAGGCGGUCUUGUAAGUCAGAGGUGAAAUCUCAAGGCUUAACCUUGAAACUGCCUUUGAUACUGCUGGGCUUGAGUACGGAAGAGGCGGAUGGAAUUUCUGGUGUAGCAGUGAAAUGCGUAGAUAUCAGGAGGAACACCGGUGGCGAAGGCGGUCCGCUGGUCCGUUACUGACUCUAAAGCACGAAAGCGUGGGGAGCAAACAGG